GGGCAGGUUGAAGGUUGGGUAACACUAACUGGAGGACCGAACCGACUAAUGUUGAAAAAUUAGCGGAUGACUUGUGGCUGGGGGUGAAAGGCCAAUCAAACCGGGAGAUAGCUGGUUCUCCCCGAAAUCUAUUUAGGUAGAGCCUUGAGCGGACACCUUCGGGGGUAGAGCACUGUUUCGGCUAGGGGUCCAUCCCGGAUUACCAACCCGAUGCAAACUACGAAUACCGAAGAGUGAUACUCAGGAGACACACGGCGGGUGCUAACGUCCGUCGUGGAGAGGGAAACAACCCAGACCGCCAGCUAAGGUCCCAAAGUCUAUAUUAAGUGGGAAACGAAGUGGGAAGGCUUAGACAGCUAGGAUGUUGGCUUAGAAGCAGCCAUCAUUUAAAGAAAGCGUAAUAGCUCACUAGUCGAGUCGGCCUGCGCGGAAGAUGUAACGGGGCUCAAAUAUAGCACCGAAGCUGCGGCAUCAGACGAAAGUCUGUUGGGUAGGGGAGCGUUCUGUAAGCGGAUGAAGGUGGCUCGAGAGGGCUGCUGGACGUAUCAGAAGUGCGAAUGCUGACAUAAGUAACGAUAAAACGGGUGAAAAACCCGUUCGCCGGAAGACCAAGGGUUCCUGUCCAACGUUAAUCGGGGCAGGGUGAGUCGGCCCCUAAGGCGAGGCUGAAAAGCGUAGUCGAUGGGAAACGGGUUAAUAUUCCCGUACUUGGAUAAACUGCGAUGUGGGGACGGAGUAGGUUAGGUUAUCGCACUGUUGGAUAUGUGCGUUUAAGUUGGUAGGUGGGAAGUUUAGGCAAAUCCGGACUUCUUUAACACCGAGAGAUGAUGACGAGGCUCUACGGAGCUGAAGUAACCGAUACCACACUUCCAGGAAAAGCCACUAAGCUUCAGGUUUAUCUAAACCGUACUGAAAACCGACACAGGUGGUCAGGUAGAGAAUACUCAGGCGCUUGAGAGAACUCGGGUGAAGGAACUAGGCAAAAUAGCACCGUAACUUCGGGAGAAGGUGCGCCGGCGUAGAUUGUAGUCCCUAGCGGGCGAAGGUUGAACCGGUCGAAGAUACCAGCUGGCUGCAACUGUUUAUUAAAAACACAGCACUCUGCAAACACGAAAGUGGACGUAUAGGGUGUGAUGCCUGCCCGGUGCUGGAAGGUUAAUUGAUGGUGUAAUCGAAAGAGAAGCUCCUGAUCGAAGCCCCAGUAAACGGCGGCCGUAACUAUAACGGUCCUAAGGUAGCGAAAUUCCUUGUCGGGUAAGUUCCGACCUGCACGAAUGGCAUAAUGAUGGCCAGGCUGUCUCCACCCGAGACUCAGUGAAAUUGAAAUCGCCGUGAAGAUGCGGUGUACCCGCGGCUAGACGGAAAGACCCCGUGAACCUUUACUAUAGCUUGACACUGAAC
RNAcentral lists this ribosomal RNA (1401 nucleotides) under metagenome. RNAcentral describes it as "bacterial LSU rRNA". It matches the Rfam family "Bacterial large subunit ribosomal RNA", at positions 738 to 2122 of the family's 2925-position model. The record is from RNAcentral.